Long non-coding RNA from Globicephala melas (long-finned pilot whale), 7341 nucleotides. RefSeq lists it as uncharacterized. NCBI's taxonomy places the organism in Eukaryota, Metazoa, Chordata, Mammalia, Artiodactyla, Delphinidae. The record is from RefSeq and is a predicted model, not a curated record.
UACCAGGUCAUAGGAUUUGAACUCAGGACCACAACGGAAGACAGGCUUUUCCCAUCAUGCCAAACAGCCCCCAGGCUGUCCCAGAGAAUGCCCAGGAGCUCUCAGACUAGAGGCAGAGGGUACCCUCGCCCACAAGCAUAGCCAUGUUGCUCUCAGAGUCCCUGGGAGCUGCCCACCCCUCCUACCCCACGGCCCUCCCCCACACACCUGUUGGACGCCUUCUUGUUGGGCCCCUCCAGGUCGUGCUUGCGGCCCAAGUAGCCCUCCAUCUGCACGCUGUGCCCGUGGUCCACCUGGGCCGGCAGCGUUGUAGGCUCUUCACCCUCGCUCAGAGGCGUGUCCAGGACCUUAAAGAGGGGCUCUGUGGUGGGCCUCUCAUCCGUGCUGGAUUUCUCCUCCUGCCCUUCCUUGUGCGGCCCUGGCGGCAGUGGCGGCUGCAGGUCCUGGGGCCACUGCCUCUCUUCUUCCCCCUGCUCAGGGGCAUAUGGGAGGAGCACACCUUGCUGGGGGUUCAGAGCCAGGGGUGGCUACUCUCGGCAGAACGGGGAGGUCAGCAGGCCCCACCUGAGUCUGGUUCUUCUCUCCUGUGCCCUUCCUGGCCCUCCCUCAACCUGCUGUGGGUUUCCACCUGGCCUGCUUCCCUAGCCUGUGCCCAUGUCUCUGGCUCCAUUCUCACUCUCCCCCUCUCCAAUCUAACAUAGGAACAGAAGGUUCUUAGAGUGAGCUGAAGGGGCUCAUCCGGGGGUUUCCGAUGCUGCCCGCCUCCAGGGCCCACCCCUGCUUCAGACAGAUACUCCAGCUCCUACUGAGUCAUCCGUGGGGCUCUGGCAAGACUUCAAAUGAAGAAAGGGUUCUGCUGCUAAGACAGGACAGAAGAACAUUUGUGGUAGGAUGUUGUAUGGGAACCCUUCUGUUACUUUCCACUUGUGUCUAAAACCCCAAAGCUAAGGGCACCAGGCCCUAAGCCUCCGCCACCACCUUCUAAAGGGAGACCCAGACCUUCCCGGGUCAUGGUGCAGGGCCGUGACCUGCUCCCCAGGUCCUGCCUCCGUCAUUUGGUGGGGAUUUGUUGGAGUAGGGCAGUGGCUCCUAACCCUGGCUGCCUUUUACAAUCACCUCGGGAGCGUUAACAAAGGAUGCCGGGACGCAUCCUCAGGAUGCUGAGUUAACUAGCCUGGAGUGGGGUCAGCACACUGGAAUUUCUUAAUCAGCUUUUCAUGCACUCGAAUGUGCUGCAGGGGUAGAGAAUCACCACCUAAGGAGUCACUGCUCCAGGGAAAGUCCGCGGCUUUUACCUCCCUGCUCCUCCCCGUAGAGGACAGGAUCCUCCCAGCCCCUGCCCAAGCCAAGUGAGGGGCCUCCAGUGGAGCCGCGUGCUGGUAUGUCAGGUGCCCGUGAGAAAGGGAAGCAGACCUCUUAUUCCCCAGCUGGGUACACCCUUAUGCAGAGGCCUUUGUGCCACUGUACCAGGAGAGAGGGCAGGACAGAUUGCGGCAGCAAGGGGCAGCCAGCCUCCGAGUGCAGCACAAGAAUGCCGGCUGGGGCAAGAAUGGGUGGGUCUCCUAUGUGCCCAGCAUCAAGGAAGGGCACCCUAGCUUGAGACAUCUGGCCAGAACCCUGUCUCAAAGGCCUGACUGCUAGAGACCUUACAGCACCAGGUGGGAAGGGUCUUGUAGGUCCCAAGCAGGUAGUAUUUGGACACCUGAAGGACCAAGGGCACUGACAGCCCAAGAGGACCAGAGCCAACCCAGGCAGUAAAGAGACACUGCCCCCUUUUCUACUCCCUGUCCCAGCUGAAGAUGGAGACCCAGGGGAGUGUUGGGGAGGAGCCAGGAAACAGCAGACCCUGUGCUCCCCAUCGUGGGUCCUUCAGACCUUGGGUCGAAGCCAAAAUAGAGAAAUGGAGAAUGAGAGAUAUGGGCACCAUACUGGACAUCAGAUUGAAGCUUCAAACUGAAACAGACUGGUUAGACUUUUUAACAGCUAAAAGUGACCAAGGUCUGCCUGAGCUGGCACUAAGGAAUGGGAAGCGGAGGCUCAACGGAGAUGUCUGAAGGCAGUGGUUGGAAGAAAGGUAAAGCUGGUCAUGGCUGUAUCCCAUCAAAUAAGGGCUGUUCAAUAAACAGGUUGGUGUUCCCUAAGAACCCCAAAAGAAAGGAUAAUAUGGCUGGAAAAGUUUGAAAACGCUACCCUAGUCUAACACCUUCAAUCUAGGAGAAAACCAGUACUCAGAGAGGUUAAAUGACUUCCCCAAGGUCACACAGCUAAUAGAUACCAGAGGCAAUUAAGAGCAUGCACUCCACAAUUGGACAGGCCUGAGUUUUUACCACAUCUGUAGGGAUCUCAUCUUUUCCUGUCUUAGAAUCCCUUGAGUUGUGGCUGGGCCAUGCCCAUCUUUAUGCAUCUGGCAGUAUUUAUGUCUUUGAGUGUCAGCAAUGAGCCAGAAUUGACCACAAGGAUCUGAAGGCUGUAAAGCCCUGCCUGGAUCCUCCUCCAGCAGGGAGGAAGGGCAGGAGUGGCAGGGUUGGAUUUGGGAGCCUGCGUUUGGGGUCCUUCUAUGGACCCAGUCAGGCCAACCCUCUGACUUGGGCAUAACUGUUGGGGAGGUAGUGAAGCCUUUCAUCCUCUCUCUCUCCAGCUGGCUGUGCUGUUCCUCCUGGUGAUGGGCCAGGCUUUCCCCACACCUGCUCUGGGGGCCUCGGGGAAGAUGUGUGGCAGAUGCUGGGAGGAAAACCCAGCAGACCCUCACAACCAUGUUCACCCCUCUCACCCAGCCUCUUCCCUCCUGGGACUGGUUUUACUAGAGCCCUGUGUGUCCAUAUUUUCUUCCUAUACUUUUCAUUUCCAUGCUCCUUCCUUUCGGGAACUCUCCUCUGAAAAUAGAGAUGAUUUUUCCAGGACUGCCUCCCAAUUUAAUCUCACCUUUCUUCUGUUUCUUCCUAAUGGAUGCCUGACCUAUGUUCCCUGGCAGGGCCAGUCAGAGGCCACGGCCAGUGUGACCAAAAGUUAAAUGGCCAGGUCAUGGGUGGGCUUUGGGAAAUGGGGGUUUUCCAAUGUAUGCAAAGAUUUCUUCUGUUCUCUUGACUGUUCAUGUGGAGAAAAUUUAAAACACACCCUCUCCCCUCUCCCCUGAAGGCCAAGGCCUGAGGAGAAGGAGUCGAGAAUGAGGGUGGGAGGUGGAGGGGUCUGGUGGCAGCUGCUCCUCCCAGGCCCAGGGCUGGCAGGGCUUCUCUCUCUCCUGGGUUAGGGGAAGGGACACACAGGAGAAAGAUGGGGGCGUGGUUUGGGCCCUCCUUUUAUAGGCCCCAGGGGUGAAUAUGCUUUGCACCAUCUUCUAAGAGAGCUGGGGGUUGAGGGGCAGUUCUGCUGCCCCUGGAACCAUACCAUGCUCUGAUAGAGAUUGUGCCUUGCCCGACAGGCAGAGAGAUCUGUGGACAGCAGAGCACCAGAAGGGGAUGCUGGCUACUCGUUGGCUGUAGGGACAGGUAGGUUCUGCCAAAAGGCCCUGGAUAGCUAAGAUGAUCCUCCGUGAUAUAAGGCAGAAGGCCAGCUGCUUUAGCCCUUGGGUCAUCAGGAAGAUGCAGAGAUUACACCUACUCUGCUGAGAGGUAACCCAGCCUAGAGCAAUCACUCAGAGGAGCUGGGGGACACUGAAAAAAAGAGGAUCCAGCUACUUGGAAGAAACUCUGGGCGUCAGGUUGGGGCUGCUGGAGAGUUUAGACCAUAAGUGGGUGUAACAGAAGGAGGGAGAAUGGCCCAGGGAUGGGGCCUGGAAUAAGCAUGGAGCUUCUGUUCUCUGAUUUGAAGGUCUGGGUGACAGGUGGGUGGGUGCGCUGGCUGCUGGGAUCACGAUGUCAGAGGAGGGUAGGGGACAGGCAGCACUGGAUGCUGGUGGGAACAUCAGGGGAGGAAAGGGCACAGAUAGGAGAGCCUUUUAGGAUCCCACAGGAUUGUAGUCAAACAGGGAGAGAGGCCUGAGCCCCUGAUGGGCUGGGGAUGGCCACAUCAGAGUAUUUGCAGAGUCUUGUAAGCUUGACAUUUUAGGGUCCUGCCUUGUUAGGAAACUGACUUGGGUGGGGGGAAGCAGGCAGAUGUCUCUUCCCCAGAGGAGGUUCAAGAAGAUGAAGGGAAGAGGGGCAGCAUGGGUACAUUUCUUACCUGGACUAAAGGUGUUGAAGGUGUACUUCCAGGCCAAGCCAGCAGGUGGCGCAGGGGGACAGCACACAGACAACUAACUCCAGCUCCAGGGAGAAAAAUAACCAGGGGUGCGACCACAGGGUCUUUGGGAGAUUCUAGAAGAUGCUCAGUGAACCCAGACACAUCAACAAACAAGGAAACACAAGCGAGCUUCUCUCUAAAGGAAAUGCUGUGUGGGCUCCCUGCCCUGGAGGCGCUGGCGGCUGCUUGAUGCCUUGGUGACUCUGAGCCAGCCACUCAGAAAGUCUCAAAAGAGAAGACACUGACUCGCCCAUCCAGAUCUGACACCCAGCAGUCGGCAGCUUCACGCCUCAUUUCUGAGAUGCCUGCAAUGUUAACUGAGUCCCAUCCUGGGUUCAUCAGUAUCGGGGAUGCUCUAAAACACAGAUUGGAAGAUGAACUUAGGAGUUGCCUUUGAGCAGCGGGACCAGGAAGAUCACGUCCGACCCUAGUACAGAGAGCUGGGCGCACCGAGCGGCGGACAGAUGUCCACAAAGAGCCUAGAGCCAGCUUCUCCACGGAGCCUGGGGUGCCAGGGCACGGUGCCAGACUGUAGGCAGACACAGCCCUGCCACGCUGAUUCAGGCAUCCUGGGGAGACAGACACGCCCAGGUUCACGGGAAAACUGACGUUCUUUCCAGGCUGGGUCUGCUCAUUAUGGGCAAACACACCAUUUGCCUUCACUGUAAAACGCCUGAAUCAGCAGCUCAGUUCAGCCUCACAGGGGGAGUGGAGGGAGGAUGGGGAAAGCUCGCUCAGGCAAGAAGAAACACAGCUGCUGCCUCCACACCCACAUCCCUUCCCUCCAAGAACGUCAGAGCCAGGCCUCUGGCCGCUGAUUAGAGCCCUAGGCUGCCUGCUGCUGUGGGGAGUUGCCAAGGGAGUGACAGCAGCUGGAGCCAGCCAGCCACUGGCUAAAAGGUGACCUGCUGCAACCCAGUGCCUGCUCAGCCCCAGGGCACCAUCCCUCAGGUUCUCAAGUGCCGGUUAUCUCCCUGAAGCCACGUCAACCUCUAAGAUGCUGGAAGGAGAUGCCCAGUCCUCUCGGGGAAGCCAGCUGCAGGCGGUCUUGGAAGGUCAUGGGAAGAGUGACGUCUGUGAGCUGCACUUGGAACAUGCUCUAAUGUGGAAAGGUAAGAGGUGAUAGAGGCAAUGGAUGUGCUUGAAGAAACGCUGAAUGCGUGGAAUGGUACUCCAGUCCCUGCGUGUGCGUACAUGUGUGCGUGCACACACCCGGGAAGCGGAGGACCAGGCGGGGCUGGCAGGGUGGCCACCGUGUGCUGUGCAGCAGUCUACUCAGGGAUUCAGGUGCCUGGUCCACUCCCAUGCAGGAAGCCGGCAUGCACUAGUGAUGGGUUUCACGUGAAGCCACAGCGUACGGAUCUAUCCCAUAGGGCACCGACACCAGACCACACACAGCACGGAUCUAUCCUAUAGAGCACCGACACCAGACCACACAUGUGACAGCAGGAGAGCCACUGGACCCAGGCCUACCCCAGAGAGAAGGCUCAGCGGACAGCCGCCUUCCUGGGAGAGGCCUGAGGUUUCUGGAAAGGUUUUGAACCCUGCAUGUGACCCAUUCUCCUCUCUUCUCAUAUCAAGGACCAAUGGGGUAUCCCACUCUCCCUCGGAGUCCCAUGGAGCCUCGUGAAAACUCAACAAAGGGCUCGGAAAGGAGAAGCAGCAAGAACUCUGUUUCCAUGAGGCCUCAGGCCUGGUGUUCAUUUGAUUCGCCAUCCAGUUUCUUCCUGGUACCGGGCACAGGCCAGUUUCCCCAUCUGGCGGGGUGGCUGGCUCUCUGGGAAGGGUCUCAAAUGUGGGCUCACUCCCUCCUUCCAGAGACGCUCAGGUCCAAGCAGGUUAUACUCCCCCCAAAUCCAGCGACAUUCAGGCGGUGGAUGGAGGCGGCUCUGAUGCACAUGUAAUUACAUUGCACAGACGUACACGACACAGACAAUGGAUGGAUCGCACAGGUGGUCACAAAGGAACCCGCAGACCCAGGCCACCACCGUGCAGACACACAGGGACGCACAGCUGAAGCGCAGGUGGCAGGAACAGUCCCAGCCCCCGUGUCCACAGUCCAUGCCAGCCCCCAGAGUUCUCUCUCCUUCCAGUGGAGGCUGUUCCUGAGAAAAAGUCCACCAGAGACUCCCACAUGCGCCGAUGGGAUCUUCAGAGGGAAGUCCUGGGAGAGACCCACCAGUGGGAGCCCAGGAGUGCCCUCUGCUGGACAUGAAGGGCUGGUGCAGCUCAGGACACCUCUGGCCGGCUGGAGGUGUCAGAGGGAGCUCAGAGUGUGAGUGUGAGUGUGAGUGUGUGUGUGUGUCUCAGAGGGUGGGAAGGGCUGAAAUAUAGACCUGACAGGGAUUCUGCACAGGAAAUGCUCAGUGUUGUGCAUUUUUCUGGGGUGGCUGGUGUACCAGAAAUUUCCACCAAGAACUCCUAAAGGUUCAGGCAAGCUCACCUGGGCACCUGGAGAGGUGGUGGAUAUGCAGUGGCAAAGCCAUGCAAGGCACAUGCUGGAUUCUUGCUUUCUUCUCAGUCAGCUGCUCCCAGCACAUUUCCCCAAAACCUGGAUCACAGCCUCCCAGACUUUCUGCAUAGACCUCCUGGUUCCUAUUCCAGGCCAGGUCCUGAAGCCAUCUGCCAGGCCUCUGGCAGUGGGAGUGUUUGCGUCCCUCCCUCACCUCCCCCAGGCGUCCUCUUUUUCUACAAAUUGGAAGCCUGUGACCCAGAAGCCCUGGGGCUCUCCCUCACUCCUGAAGGGCUCCGUCAAGUCUGUUCUUGCCUCAGAGCUAGCUCUAUCUCCAACUCACUGACCCACGAGCCUCAGGCCAGGAAGGUGCAAAGGGGGGAGGGGCUCUGCUUAGGAGGAAGGAACCUGCUAGAGGGUGGGUAUGCCCACUUCACUGCCCCAAAUGCCAUGGCCAGGGCAGGAAGACCAAAUGGUCCGUUUGUGAGUAUAUUUGUGUGUGUGUGUGUGUGUGUGUGUGUGUGUGGGCGUAGAGGGUAGAGUUAAGGAUGGUGUCAGAGGGAAAAUGGGUAAAAGGACAGCGUAUACAAGGGAAUCAUUCCUGCCUGUAUAAACUGUUCCCCCUGAUGUAGAUGGUAAUGUAUUUAUAUAAUAAAAUUUAUUAGACCAGA